This is a non-coding RNA of Podarcis lilfordi (Lilford's wall lizard), 70 nucleotides long. Lineage: Eukaryota; Metazoa; Chordata; Lepidosauria; Squamata; Lacertidae. The record is from the annotation of a GenBank genome assembly.
GGAGCAUAGCUCAGUGGCAGAACAUCUGCUUUAGAUGCAGAAGGUCCUAGGUUAAUCCCUGGCAUCUCCA